Molecule: long non-coding RNA, 3087 nt
Organism: Anolis carolinensis (green anole)
Lineage: Eukaryota; Metazoa; Chordata; Lepidosauria; Squamata; Anolidae
Exons: 3
Source: RefSeq, a predicted model, not a curated record
UAUAAUUGUCUUUUCUAGAAAACGGGGGAGAAUUCUGCCCAAGGCUUGUUUGACUAACUUCUUGAGGGCAAACAUCCUGCAGGUGCAGGGGCUCCGUUUCUGGCUGAAACGGUGUAAAUCCCAUGUUUUCCUCUUCGUCUGCCACAAUGGUACUAGGAACGGGACUACAAGGCCCAUGAGACAUCACACUGAGAGAGCACGACUUGCCCAAGUUCAUUGGUGGGUUUUCAUGCUGAGCAGGGAUUGGGACCCUGAUCUUCUAGAGUCCUUGUCAAUCCAACCACUUUAUCAGGUUUGCAAAGUGCUGCCUCUCAGCCACAUGUGAUUCUCAAGUCUCACUUUUGUGGCUCCAGAAGUCUUCCAAUUUUGAAUGCUCCCAAAUGCUUUUUAAAAAUUAAGCUGCUGUUUCCUUACCUCGCCUUAAACAUAGAACAAGAAUACAUUAAAAAGGAACAAAUGGCUGACUUUUCAUGACACUCCAAAACAGCAGCCUACUCAACCUAAUGGUACGGUCAACUCUGAAUCACUAGUGGCUUUUGGUGUCUCAUCUUUAUGUUGCUAAGUAAUACCUCCCACUGAAAGGACGGUAAGAAAUUUAUAUGUAGUAGUCAACCUUCAGUAGAGUAUGUGACUCACUGGGAUUGCAGAAACAGCCAUAGUGCAGUCCCCAUUUCAUGGGGAGAUAAUGAACCGGCACCUUGGCAGAUAACAGAAUCCAGUCUCAUCUGCACAGGCAUGAAACCCAGACUCAUCCUGAGUUGGCUUGGUUGUCUUCACAGUGUUCUUCCACUUUUGAUCCUACUAUUCAACUGCUUGAUGGUGGUAACCUCUCUUACAUGUCUAUCAGAACAGUUAAUCCACUUUGGUUUAAAGACAGGACUUUAUAUCCAAGGUGCCUAACUUGACUGGCUUUUGGCAUGAACUUUAAAGAAGACAGUCUGUUACCUGUUUUAGGGUUUUGUUUCAGCACUCUGGAUAGCUCCUCUAAAGCUUGGAAUAGACCUGAAACAGAUGCCACUCCUAUCUGAUUGUGUUUGUUUCUUCUAAGGGUUCAUGACACCAUCCUAGCAUCAAAUCAUGGUCUCUUUACAUCUAGAAAGAAAUUAUUUAUAGAGUCAUUUCAGCCUAGUUUUCAUGAAAGAGUCGUUCCUGGAACCAACUCUAUGCAACAGAUUGGUUAGUUAAUGGCUUGAAUGAAGAAGAGCCAUUAACUUGAAUGAAGAAGAGCCAUUCUUAUCUGUGUUGCAGAUGACAACAGAUGGUUGAAGAUUAUGGAACAGGAUGAAAGACUGGAACUUUAAAGGGAGCCGAUUCAUCACAUCAUUGGAAUGAAAAUGACAACAUGAAUUCAAGGUGGGAAGAAUAUAGACCAUUCAAUGGUCUAUAAAGAGAUGCUAUACAGCAAGAUGAAUGAGUCUUUUAUGAGGAGUUUGCUGUGUCGGGAACAAAAAUAAAUGCUUGCACAAGCAGCCUUGAUUAUGUUGACAUCUGAGUCAGUCCAAACCUUCAUCACCCAUCGACCCCUCCAUGCAGCUGCUUUCAGCUUCCUCAAGGAACGACAUAUGUUUUUAUUGACUGCCGCUCCGUCAAGCCAGGAAAUGAUAAUACGGCAACAUGACAUGGUUGGAGUCAAGCAAAUAAGGCUGGUUUGAAAAUGUUUUAUACCUCGUUGCUAAAGGAGAUGGAGUGUGUACAGAUGUUUACUCAGGAUGUUUAGAAUAUCUGCUUGACUUGAGGAUGGUGUCUUGAGGACUAGCAGCCAUGUUUGGACAUGGGAAUCACAGAAUGUUCUUGGCUAAGUAACCACUGGCGAAUACCAGGACUGUGUUACAUAGUCUCUGGGUUCUCUUCCAGGCCCAAAACUUGUGUAUGAAAUACCCCCCAAAACCCCUUCAUACUAGGAGCUAUUUAUUACUCUUUUGCUUUCAUUUAGAACUAAUCUUCAACUGCUUCUGCCUCAUGACCAUUGAUUUCUCUAUUUCACUCCCCUUCCCAAAAGAUCUUAGCCAAUCACAAACUAAGAUUUUAUGAUAGUGGACAGAUUAUAUGAUAAUUGAGACUCAUAUAGUCCAUUUCAACCUGGGACCAGAUCCUGGGAUAUAAGAACAGUGUAUAAGGGGUCUAAGUGCUGCUUAGCACAGUAGCAUCUAAACACUACAUAAAGAACUAGAUCAUCUGCUGAUGUUAUCAAAGGCAACAAAACCUAUGUUGUGAAUGAGUAUUCUGAGGCUGUGAGUGAUAAUGGUAGGAUCAGGAGGGGAAGGAAGAAUCCUCGCCAGGAGGGCUCGUUGGAAGAUUUACAUAGGAAGAGAGUCAGGGAGAUAGAUGAGGAAUCCUCAGAUGAGGAUUCAUUUGGGGAGUUGAAAGGGAAUCCUGAGGUGGAAAUGACUGUUGAGGACCUGGUGGUGGCGGAAGGGGUUGGCAUUGACUGGGCACGGGCUCCGGAGGAUCUUGGGGAGGAAACUGGGCUCAUGGAUGCUGAGGACGCAGGAGAAGUUUGGGGUUCUUCAGAAGCAGACCCCACAUGGUCUGCCUGGAGGAAUGAGGGUGAUUCCUCAGGUGUGGACAGGGUUGGGCGUAGACAGAGUGAUUUUGACUCUGAUGAGGAACUUGGGACGCCUGAUCCUAAGGCGUUGGCUGUUUGGAGCUCGGAUUCUGAUGAGGAGCUUGGGACACCUGAUCCUAAGGCGUUGGUUGUUUGGACGCCCAAGGAAACCUAAAUAAAUUGGGUUUUUUUUGGCCAUUGUUCCUUGCGUGUGGCAAGGUGUUGUUGGGCGCCAUUGGGUUUCCUGUAUUUGACUCCGAAGACUGGCUUGGGACUUUGCAACCGAUGUAAGUUUGAUCUGGGUUAUUCUACGACGGAGGGCUGGAACUGAGUGGGUUUUCUGUUUGGACUGCAUUGUUAUUACUAUUUUGCAUUAGCUGCUGCUCGCCUCCGUUGUCUUGGCUCUUUGUGUUAUCCCGCAACGUGGACCUCGCUGUGACGACUUCACCCUUUGGACCUUGGACCGGAACUCGACUUGGCAUAUCUCUUCGCUCUUAAACUCAGCUUGGCAUCAUUCCCGUGUUCGUGGCUGACUUCUAUUG